UCAGAUGCCUGAGUCCAGCGUUGAUCGAGAUAGAGUAUGUUACUUAAAAAUAAUUCUUCGAUUGUCGUUUUAUUUUAUUUGUUAGGUUAUUCAUUUGUAAUAGUUAUUUUUUCAGGAGGGCCGUCCAGUAUCACCUCCUGCACCUAGUCCCCGUGCUUCGACGAUUGAUUUGUUCGAACUCCUGAUGGAGAUGAGAGGAGACAUGGCAGAGUUAUGGGAUAAUGUCGUGACACUACGAGCUGAGUUCGGGGACAUGGCACAGUUACGAUAUGAUGUCGCGAUAUUACGAGCUGGGUUAGGAGACUUUCAUGCUGAGGUUGUA
RNAcentral lists this long non-coding RNA (322 nucleotides) under Olea europaea subsp. europaea. Lineage: Eukaryota; Viridiplantae; Streptophyta; Magnoliopsida; Lamiales; Oleaceae. The record is from RNAcentral.